UCCUCCCUGGCGCAAUUGGCUAGCGCGUCCGACUGUUAAUCGGUUUAUCCGAUCAGCGAUCGGGAGGUUCAUGGUUCGAGCCCAUGGGGGGGAG
This is a non-coding RNA of Lophium mytilinum, 94 nucleotides long. NCBI's taxonomy places the organism in Eukaryota, Fungi, Ascomycota, Dothideomycetes, Mytilinidiales, Mytilinidiaceae. The record is from the annotation of a GenBank genome assembly.